GGUUAAGCGACUAAGCGUACACGGUGGAUGCCCUGGCAGUCAGAGGCGAUGAAGGACGUGCUAAUCUGCGAUAAGCGUCGGUAAGGUGAUAUGAACCGUUAUAACCGGCGAUUUCCGAAUGGGGAAACCCAGUGUGAUUCGUCACACUAUCAUUAACUGAAUCCAUAGGUUAAUGAGGCGAACCGGGGGAACUGAAACAUCUAAGUACCCCGAGGAAAAGAAAUCAACCGAGAUUCCCCCAGUAGCGGCGAGCGAACGGGGAGCAGCCCAGAGCCUGAAUCAGUGUGUGUGUUAGUGGAAGCGUCUGGAAAGGCGCGCGAUACAGGGUGACAGCCCCGUACACAAAAAUGCACAUGCUGUGAGCUCGAUGAGUAGGGCGGGACACGUGGUAUCCUGUCUGAAUAUGGGGGGACCAUCCUCCAAGGCUAAAUACUCCUGACUGACCGAUAGUGAACCAGUACCGUGAGGGAAAGGCGAAAAGAACCCCGGCGAGGGGAGUGAAAAAGAACCUGAAACCGUGUACGUACAAGCAGUGGGAGCACGCUUAGGCGUGUGACUGCGUACCUUUUGUAUAAUGGGUCAGCGACUUAUAUUCUGUAGCAAGGUUAACCGAAUAGGGGAGCCGAAGGGAAACCGAGUCUUAACUGGGCGUUAAGUUGCAGGGUAUAGACCCGAAACCCGGUGAUCUAGCCAUGGGCAGGUUGAAGGUUGGGUAACACUAACUGGAGGACCGAACCGACUAAUGUUGAAAAAUUAGCGGAUGACUUGUGGCUGGGGGUGAAAGGCCAAUCAAACCGGGAGAUAGCUGGUUCUCCCCGAAAGCUAUUUAGGUAGCGCCUCGUGAAUUCAUCUCCGGGGGUAGAGCACUGUUUCGGCAAGGGGGUCAUCCCGACUUACCAACCCGAUGCAAACUGCGAAUACCGGAGAAUGUUAUCACGGGAGACACACGGCGGGUGCUAACGUCCGUCGUGAAGAGGGAAACAACCCAGACCGCCAGCUAAGGUCCCAAAGUCAUGGUUAAGUGGGAAACGAUGUGGGAAGGCCCAGACAGCCAGGAUGUUGGCUUAGAAGCAGCCAUCAUUUAAAGAAAGCGUAAUAGCUCACUGGUCGAGUCGGCCUGCGCGGAAGAUGUAACGGGGCUAAACCAUGCACCGAAGCUGCGGCAGCGACGCUGAUGCGUUGUUGGGUAGGGGAGCGUUCUGUAAGCCUGUGAAGGUGUACUGUGAGGUAUGCUGGAGGUAUCAGAAGUGCGAAUGCUGACAUAAGUAACGAUAAAGCGGGUGAAAAGCCCGCUCGCCGGAAGACCAAGGGUUCCUGUCCAACGUUAAUCGGGGCAGGGUGAGUCGACCCCUAAGGCGAGGCCGAAAGGCGUAGUCGAUGGGAAACAGGUUAAUAUUCCUGUACUUGGUGUUACUGCGAAGGGGGGACGGAGAAGGCUAUGUUGGCCGGGCGACGGUUGUCCCGGUUUAAGCGUGUAGGCUGGUUUUCCAGGCAAAUCCGGAAAAUCAAGGCUGAGGCGUGAUGACGAGGCACUACGGUGCUGAAGCAACAAAUGCCCUGCUUCCAGGAAAAGCCUCUAAGCAUCAGGUAACAUCAAAUCGUACCCCAAACCGACACAGGUGGUCAGGUAGAGAAUACCAAGGCGCUUGAGAGAACUCGGGUGAAGGAACUAGGCAAAAUGGUGCCGUAACUUCGGGAGAAGGCACGCUGAUAUGUAGGUGAAGUCCCUCGCGGAUGGAGCUGAAAUCAGUCGAAGAUACCAGCUGGCUGCAACUGUUUAUUAAAAACACAGCACUGUGCAAACACGAAAGUGGACGUAUACGGUGUGACGCCUGCCCGGUGCCGGAAGGUUAAUUGAUGGGGUCAGCGCAAGCGAAGCUCUUGAUCGAAGCCCCGGUAAACGGCGGCCGUAACUAUAACGGUCCUAAGGUAGCGAAAUUCCUUGUCGGGUAAGUUCCGACCUGCACGAAUGGCGUAAUGAUGGCCAGGCUGUCUCCACCCGAGACUCAGUGAAAUUGAACUCGCUGUGAAGAUGCAGUGUACCCGCGGCAAGACGGAAAGACCCCGUGAACCUUUACUAUAGCUUGACACUGAACAUUGAGCCUUGAUGUGUAGGAUAGGUGGGAGGCUUUGAAGUGUGGACGCCAGUCUGCAUGGAGCCGACCUUGAAAUACCACCCUUUAAUGUUUGAUGUUCUAACGUGGACCCGUGAUCCGGGUUGCGGACAGUGUCUGGUGGGUAGUUUGACUGGGGCGGUCUCCUCCUAAAGAGUAACGGAGGAGCACGAAGGUUGGCUAAUCCUGGUCGGACAUCAGGAGGUUAGUGCAAUGGCAUAAGCCAGCUUGACUGCGAGCGUGACGGCGCGAGCAGGUGCGAAAGCAGGUCAUAGUGAUCCGGUGGUUCUGAAUGGAAGGGCCAUCGCUCAACGGAUAAAAGGUACUCCGGGGAUAACAGGCUGAUACCGCCCAAGAGUUCAUAUCGACGGCGGUGUUUGGCACCUCGAUGUCGGCUCAUCACAUCCUGGGGCUGAAGUAGGUCCCAAGGGUAUGGCUGUUCGCCAUUUAAAGUGGUACGCGAGCUGGGUUUAGAACGUCGUGAGACAGUUCGGUCCCUAUCUGCCGUGGGCGCUGGAGAACUGAGGGGGGCUGCUCCUAGUACGAGAGGACCGGAGUGGACGCAUCACUGGUGUUCGGGUUGUCAUGCCAAUGGCACUGCCCGGUAGCUAAAUGCGGAAGAGAUAAGUGCUGAAAGCAUCUAAGCACGAAACUUGCCCCGAGAUGAGUUCUCCCUGACUCCUUGAGAGUCCUGAAGGAACGUUGAAGACGACGACGUUGAUAGGCCGGGUGUGUAAGCGCAGCGAUGCGUUGAGCUAACCGGUACUAAUGAACCGUGAGGCUUAACCUU
This 2904-nucleotide ribosomal RNA is filed under the name Escherichia coli. Its description in RNAcentral is "23S ribosomal RNA". It matches the Rfam family "Bacterial large subunit ribosomal RNA". Lineage: Bacteria; Pseudomonadati; Pseudomonadota; Gammaproteobacteria; Enterobacterales; Enterobacteriaceae. The record is from RNAcentral.